CCUACGGGCGGCAGCAGUGAGGAAUAUUGGUCAAUGGUCGCGAGCCUGAACCAGCCAAGUAGCGUGAAGGAUGACUGCCCUACGGGUUGUAAACGUCUUUUAUAAAGGAAUAAAGUGAGGCACGUGUGCCUUUUUGUUUGUACUUUAUGAAUAAGGAUCGGCUAAUUCCGUGCCAGCAGCCGCGGUAAUACGGAGGAUCCGAGCGUUAUACGGAUUUAUUGGGUUUAAAGGGAGCGUAGAGGGGUUGUUAAGACAGUUGUGAAAGUUUGUGGCUCAACCGUAAAAUUGCAAUUGAUACUGGCAGCCUUGAGUACAGUAGAGGUAGGCGGAAUUCGUGGUGUAGCAGUGAAAUGCUUAGAUAUCACGAAGAACUCCGAUUGCGAAGGCAGCUUACGAAAAUGCCACUGACAUUGAUGCUCGAAAGUGUAGGUAUCAAACAGGAUUAGAUACCCCAGUAGUC
This 460-nucleotide ribosomal RNA is filed under the name uncultured bacterium. RNAcentral's name for it is "partial 16S ribosomal RNA". It matches the Rfam family "Bacterial small subunit ribosomal RNA", at positions 338 to 795 of the family's 1533-position model. The record is from RNAcentral.